Molecule: ribosomal RNA, 450 nt
Filed under: uncultured Glomeromycotina
Lineage: Eukaryota; Fungi; Glomeromycota
Description: SSU rRNA
Rfam family: Eukaryotic small subunit ribosomal RNA
Source: RNAcentral
AGCAGCCGCGGUAAUUCCAGCUCCAAUAGCGUAUAUUAAAGUUGUUGCAGUUAAAAAGCUCGUAGUUGAAUUUCGGGAUCAAUCUGUUGGUCGUGCCUUUGGUACGUACUAGCUUAUUGAUUUCUCCCUUCUGACGAACCAUGAUGUCAUUAAUUUGGUGUCAUGGGAAAUCAGGACUGUUACUUUGAAAAAAUUAGAGUGUUUAAAGCAGGCUCACGCUUGAAUACAUUAGCAUGGAAUAAUGAAAUAGGACGUUUUGAUUCUAUUUUGUUGGUUUCUAGGAUCGACGUAAUGAUUAAUAGGGAUAGUUGGGGGCAUUAGUAUUCAAUUGUCAGAGGUGAAAUUCUUGGAUUUAUUGAAGACUAACUACUGCGAAAGCAUUUGCCAAGGAUGUUUUCAUUAAUCAAGAACGAAAGUUAGGGGAUCGAAGACGAUCAGAUACCGUCGUAG